RNAcentral lists this ribosomal RNA (507 nucleotides) under Pharmacophagus antenor. RNAcentral's name for it is "partial 16S ribosomal RNA". The stretch from base 387 to 507 matches the Rfam family "Bacterial large subunit ribosomal RNA", at positions 2473 to 2593 of the family's 2925-position model. The record is from RNAcentral. Lineage: Eukaryota; Metazoa; Arthropoda; Insecta; Lepidoptera; Papilionidae.
GUCUUUUUGAAAAUAAUAUAAAGUCUAAUCUGCCCACUGAUUUAAUAUUAAAGGGCUGCAGUAUUUUGACUGUACAAAGGUAGCAUAAUCAUUUGUCUCUUAAUUGGUGACUUGUAUGAAAGAUUGGAUGAAAUAUAAACUGUCUCUAUAUAAUUAUUAAAAUUUAAUUUUUUAGUUAAAAAGCUAAAAUAAAUUUAAAAGACGAGAAGACCCUAUAGAGUUUUAUAAUUUUAUUAAUAUUAAAAAAAUAUAAAUAUUAAGUUUAAUAUUAAUAAAAUUAUUUUAUUGGGGUGAUAGAAAAAUUAAAAUAACUUUUUUUAAAAAUAAACAUUAAUAUAUGAUUAAAUGAUCCAUUAAUAAUGAUUAAAAGAAAAAAUUACCUUAGGGAUAACAGCGUAAUUUUUUUUUUUAGGUCAAAUAAGAAAAAAAGUUUGCGACCUCGAUGUUGGAUUAAGAUAAAAUUUAAAUGCAAAAGUUUAAAAUUUUUGAUCUGUUCGAUCAUUAAAA